GUUUAAGGCCAUGCCACCCUCAAGGCACUGGACCUUGUCUGACUUCAGAAGCUAAGCAGGGUAGGAUUUGGUUAGUACUUCAUGGGAAAAGUGAGCUAUGUCCUUUGGGGGGCCAAAACAUCAAGAA
Molecule: ribosomal RNA, 127 nt
Filed under: Chinchilla lanigera (long-tailed chinchilla)
Lineage: Eukaryota; Metazoa; Chordata; Mammalia; Rodentia; Chinchillidae
Source: RNAcentral